RNAcentral lists this long non-coding RNA (230 nucleotides) under Lathyrus oleraceus (garden pea). Its description in RNAcentral is "Pisum sativum (pea) long non-coding RNA (PSAT_LNC011193)". Lineage: Eukaryota; Viridiplantae; Streptophyta; Magnoliopsida; Fabales; Fabaceae. The record is from RNAcentral.
CUUGAAUGACUUUCUCUUGAUCUUAGCCCCUUGACUAAAAUCAUGCCAAGAAUCAAACAAUAGUCAAUAGUAAUCACUAAGUAGGCUUUGUAUGAAAAAUGAUCACCAGAGGCCAAUAUACUUCAAAAAUCAAUUGUCUCAUAAUGCAAUCCAAGGACCACGGUCUAAGAAUUAGGGUUUUACAGAAGUUGGUUCACAAAGAAAGAGCCAAACACCAUUGUUGUUCCAAA